CUCUGUGUCUGUGUGUGUCUGGGUGCUGAAGGAUACUCUGUGCAUGUGUGUGUGUCUGGGUGCUGAAGGAUACUCUGUGCCUGUGUGUGUGUCUGGGUGCUGAAGGAUAUUCUGUGUCUGUGUGUGUGUCUGGGUGCUGAAGGAUACUCUGUGUCUGUGUGUGUCUGGGUGCUGAAGGAUACUCUGUGUCUGUGUGUGUGUCUGGGUGCUGAAGGAUACUCUGUGUCUGUGUGUGUCUGGGUGCUGAAGGAUACUCUGUGUCUGUGUGUGUGCCUGGGUGCUGAAGGAUACUCUGUGUCUGUGUGUGUGUCUGGGUGCUGAAGGAUAUUCUGUGUCUGUGUGUGUGUCUGGGUGCUGAAGGAUACUCUGUGUCUGUGUGUGUCUGGGUGCUGAAGGAUACUCUGUGCCUGUGUGUGUGUCUGGGUGCUGAAGGAUACUCUGUGCCUGUGUGUGUGUCUAGGUGCUGAAGGAUACUCUGUGUCUGUGUGUGUGUCUGGGUGCUGAAGGAUACUCUGUGUCUGUGUGUGUGCCUGGGUGCUGAAGGAUACUCUGUGUCUGUGUGUGUGUCUGGGUGCUGAAGGAUACUCUGUGUCUGUGUGUGUCUGGGUGCUGAAGGAUACUCUGUGUCUGUGUGUGUGCCUGGGUGCUGAAGGAUACUCUGUGCCUGUGU
Molecule: long non-coding RNA, 670 nt
Organism: Brienomyrus brachyistius
Lineage: Eukaryota; Metazoa; Chordata; Actinopteri; Osteoglossiformes; Mormyridae
Exons: 4
Source: RefSeq, a predicted model, not a curated record